AGCUGCGACCAACUCGUGUCGCGUUUCCUGAUUUCUAUCGUCGCGCCCAAUUUACGAGACAGUAGGAAAAAAUGAGCAAGAGAAACGAGUCAUUUCUAUGGGGACGUAUUGACGUUACCUUAGCUCGGACGUCUGCACGUAAACGUAGCGAUUACAAUCGGAAAUCUUUAAAGGAGGUUAUCGGGAUUAAACCAGCUUUCGGGAUACCUUCGGAGGUGUUCUCGGAGAUAGAUUUGUCCUUCUGAUAAAUUGAAAAUGAUAAAGGAGACCUGUUAGAUUGAGAGCUUUCCUGUGAUGGUGUAAAAGAUUUUUAAACACUCUAUUACCGGUCGUCCGUGCUGCUUUAUCGGAUUUAAUGGUGAUCUGGUACCGAGAUUUUUACAAGUGUCAUAGAUUCCAUCCAAUGUGUGACUAUCAAAGCGUUAAAGAUUAAAUCCUGCAAAAAUGAAUAAAUUAUUUAACAAGAAAGAAUUAAAGCAGAAGAUGGAAACUCAUUUCUCGAACAAUGAAUAUUUUAUAUUUUGUAAAUAACCUUAAGCCUUCGGUGGAACUAAAAUAGAAUGCUAACGAAGAGGUUGUACUUGCAAGUUUUCCCGUAUUUGCACGAGCAAUUGAAGUACGUACUCGAUAUAAAUCGACUAUACCUUUUUUUCUUUAUUUAUUUUCUCGUUUAGCCGCGUACUGCAUAAGCGUUUCCUUUGAAAUGUAAUCUGCAAACACAUACCCGUUCUGCGAUUAGAGGAAAGAUAUUUCUCAGUAGAGUCUUUGUGCGGCGCGGCGUUACGGAACACGCAAUUGGACGUGUGGUUAAUGAGCAUGUAAAUUCAAAUGACUUUGCGAUAAGCAAUGGUAUCAUCACUUUCUGAGUCUUCACUGAUCAUAUAAUUAACCCUUUGCCUUAUGAUUCUUGUGAUGAUUGAAUUUGAUAAAAUUACAUAGAUACCUAUUAAUGGCUCAAAUUUUAGAAAAAUUGUUACAAUUUCUGAUGCUGAAAUAAGUACCAUACAAGAAAUAUCUAUAAUUUUUAAGGAUGACUUUAUGCUAUGUGUAUGUACAUAAAGGAGAUGAAGAGUUUUUGAAAUUCAAAAUCUUCAAAACCUUAUAACUUUCCCAUAAUUUCUGGGAAAAAUGACUAUUAUAUUUCUGUAAUCUUAAAAAAAUCUUUUAUUCCUGAUGAUCAGCGUUAUCGAUUACAUAUAAGCCGUCUUUAUGCGAGUUUGAAACAAGUGUCUCUCUCUCUCCCCUUAAAAGUCAAUGGAUUUGAAUAAAACAGUACACAUUCUUAUAAUUAUAUUUUUAUAUGCAA
This is a long non-coding RNA of Osmia lignaria (orchard mason bee), 1306 nucleotides long. RefSeq lists it as uncharacterized. Lineage: Eukaryota; Metazoa; Arthropoda; Insecta; Hymenoptera; Megachilidae. The record is from RefSeq and is a predicted model, not a curated record.